GCCGGGCGUGGUGCCGCACGCCUGUAAUCCCAGCUACUCAGGAGGCUGAGGCGGGAGAAUCUCUUGAACCCAGGAAGCGGAGGUUGCAGUGAGCUGAGAUCAUGCCACCGCACUCCAGCCUGGGCGACAGAGUGAGCCUCCGUCUCAA
Unclassified non-coding RNA from Macaca fascicularis (crab-eating macaque), 148 nucleotides. It matches the Rfam family "Metazoan signal recognition particle RNA". Rfam says of the family: The signal recognition particle (SRP) is a universally conserved ribonucleoprotein. It is involved in the co-translational targeting of proteins to membranes. The record is from Ensembl. NCBI's taxonomy places the organism in Eukaryota, Metazoa, Chordata, Mammalia, Primates, Cercopithecidae.